UGAGGAAUAUUGGUCAAUGGCCGAGAGGCUGAACCAGCCAAGUCGCGUGAGGGAUGACGGCCCUACGGGUUGUAAACCUCUUUUGUCGGGGAGCAAAGGACUUCACGUGUGGAGUUUCGAGAGUACCCGAAGAAAAAGCAUCGGCUAACCUCCGUGCCAGCAGCCGCGGUAAAUACGGAGGAUGCGAGCGUUAUCCGGAUUUAUUGGGUUUAAAGGGUGCGCAGGCGGAGUGUCAAGUCAGCGGUAAAAUUUCGGGGCUCAACCCCGGCGAGCCGUUGAAACUGACGCCCUUGAGUGCGCGAGGAGUAUGCGGAAUGCGUGGUGUAGCGGUGAAAUGCAUAGAUAUCACGCAGAACUCCGAUUGCGAAGGCAGCAUACCGGCGCGCAACUGACGCUCAUGCACGAAAAGCGUGGGUAUCGAACAGGAUUAGAUACC
This 436-nucleotide ribosomal RNA is filed under the name uncultured bacterium. Its description in RNAcentral is "bacterial SSU rRNA". It matches the Rfam family "Bacterial small subunit ribosomal RNA", at positions 355 to 786 of the family's 1533-position model. The record is from RNAcentral.